GAUGAACGCUGGCGGCGUGCCUAACACACGCAAGUCGAACGAAGCACCUUACCUGAUUCUUCGGAUGAAAGUUUGGUGACUGAGUGGCGGACGGGUGAGUAACGCGUGGGUAACCUGCCCUGUACAGGGGGAUAACAGCUGGAAACGGCUGCUAAUACCGCAUAAGCGCACGAGGAGACAUCUCCUUGUGUGAAAAACUCCGGUGGUACAGGAUGGGCCCGCGUCUGAUUAGCUGGUUGGCAGGGUAACGGCCUACCAAGGCAACGAUCAGUAGCCGGUCUGAGAGGAUGAACGGCCACAUUGGAACUGAGACACGGUCCAAACUCCUACGGGAGGCAGCAGUGGGGAAUAUUGCACAAUGGGGGAAACCCUGAUGCAGCAAGGCCGCGUGAGUGAAGAAGUAUUUCGGUAUGUAAAGCUCUAUCAGCAGGGAAGAUAAUGACGGUACCUGACUAAGAAGCUCCGGCUAAAUACGUG
RNAcentral lists this ribosomal RNA (477 nucleotides) under uncultured bacterium. RNAcentral's name for it is "partial 16S ribosomal RNA". It matches the Rfam family "Bacterial small subunit ribosomal RNA", at positions 28 to 507 of the family's 1533-position model. The record is from RNAcentral.